RNAcentral lists this transfer RNA (81 nucleotides) under Candidatus Lindowbacteria bacterium RIFCSPLOWO2_02_FULL_62_12. Its description in RNAcentral is "tRNA-Leu". It matches the Rfam family "tRNA". From Rfam's summary of the family: Transfer RNA (tRNA) molecules are approximately 80 nucleotides in length. Their secondary structure includes four short double-helical elements and three loops (D, anti-codon, and T loops). RNAcentral also lists the same sequence under 1 other name. Lineage: Bacteria; Candidatus Lindowiibacteriota. The record is from RNAcentral.
GGGCGCGUGGCGGAAUGGCAGACGCUCCAGGCUUAGGACCUGGUCCCGAAAGGGGUAGGGGUUCAAGUCCUCUCGCGCCCA